AGAGUUUGAUCAUGGCUCAGAUUGAACACUGGCGGCAGGCCUAACACAUGCAAGUCGAGCGGAUGAAGGGAGCUUGCUCCUGGAUUCAGCGGCGGACGGGUGAGUAAUGCCUAGGAAUCUGCCUGGUAGUGGGGGAUAACGUCCGGAAACGGGCGCUAAUACCGCAUACGUCCUGAGGGAGAAAGUGGGGGAUCUUCGGACCUCACGCUAUCAGAUGAGCCUAGGUCGGAUUAGCUAGUUGGUGGGGUAAAGGCCUACCAAGGCGACGAUCCGUAACUGGUCUGAGAGGAUGAUCAGUCACACUGGAACUGAGACACGGUCCAGACUCCUACGGGAGGCAGCAGUGGGGAAUAUUGGACAAUGGGCGAAAGCCUGAUCCAGCCAUGGCCGCGUGUGUGAAGAAGGUCUUCGGAUUGUAAAGACUUUAAGUUUGGGAGGAAGGGCAGUAAGUUAAUACCUUGCUGUUUUGACGUUACCAACAGAAUAAGCACCGGCUAACUUCGUGCCAGCAGCCGCGGUAAUACGAAGGGUGCAAGCGUUAAUCGGAAUUACUGGGCGUAAAGCGCGCGUAGGUGGUUCAGCAAGUUGGAUGUGAAAUCCCCGGGCUCAACCUGGGAACUGCAUCCAAAACUACUGAGCUAGAGUACGGUAGAGGGUGGUGGAAUUUCCUGUGUAGCGGUGAAAUGCGUAGAUAUAGGAAGGAACACCAGUGGCGAAGGCGACCACCUGGACUGAUACUGACACUG
Molecule: ribosomal RNA, 746 nt
Filed under: uncultured bacterium
Lineage: Bacteria
Description: bacterial SSU rRNA
Rfam family: Bacterial small subunit ribosomal RNA
Source: RNAcentral